Non-coding RNA from Pogona vitticeps (central bearded dragon), 341 nucleotides. Lineage: Eukaryota; Metazoa; Chordata; Lepidosauria; Squamata; Agamidae. The record is from RefSeq and is a predicted model, not a curated record.
CCGGGGAAAGGAACGGUUCUGGCCGUUAACGGAUGAACUUCCUCGGCGGUGCGGAAAGAAAAGGGGGGCCUCCAGGAGAAUGGCCCAUAGGGUCCCCGUUCCCUGCCCAGUGGAGCUUGGCAAGGUGAAAAAUGACUCCCUGGAAGCUCGGUUACACGAAUAUGUGAGGCAAGGGAAUUAUGUGAAAGUGAAGAAGCUGCUGAAAAAGGGAGCUGGACAUGCUGAGUUGGAAGUAGAGGCUGUGAAGAUGAUUGGAUCAUCUUCUCAAAUAAGAGGGCUUCAAAUCGCAUCCUUCCUUGGGAGUGCAGCAGCGCUUUUUCUGGUGCACCCUGUUUGCAAAA